AUUACUUCUCAGCCUUUUGGCUAAGAUCAAGUGUAGUAUCUGUUCUUAUCAGUAUAUGACAUAUAUGAACUUGCAUAGGAAUUUAGAAAAAAAUCACAAUUCCAU
This is a small nuclear RNA of Heterocephalus glaber (naked mole-rat), 105 nucleotides long. Its record names the gene U2. It matches the Rfam family "U2 spliceosomal RNA". From Rfam's summary of the family: U2 is a small nuclear RNA (snRNA) component of the spliceosome (involved in pre-mRNA splicing). NCBI's taxonomy places the organism in Eukaryota, Metazoa, Chordata, Mammalia, Rodentia, Bathyergidae. The record is from Ensembl.